GACGUACUGCGCGAACGUUAUUCGGAAUCACUGGGCUUAAAGGGUGCGCAGGCGGCUUCCAAAGCCCGAAGUGAAAGGUCCCGGCCCAACCGGGGACGUGCUUCGGGGACUUGGAGGCUCGGGCGAGCUAGGGGUCCGUGGAACUCCCGGUGGAGCGGUGAAAUGUGUUGAGAUCGGGAGGAACGCCGGUGGCGAAAGCGACGGACUGGGGCUUUGCCGACGCUCAGGCACGAAAGCCAGGGGAGCGAACGGG
Molecule: ribosomal RNA, 253 nt
Filed under: uncultured bacterium
Lineage: Bacteria
Also listed under: 1 other name
Description: partial 16S ribosomal RNA
Rfam family: Bacterial small subunit ribosomal RNA
Source: RNAcentral